GCUGCAUCCAUCACCGGAGAUCCCCACCACCCAGGAUGUGCCCUUUUCUCAGGUAGAAAAUAUUCACACCACCAGGUUCAAGAACAGUUGCUACCCCCCCAACACCAGGCUCUUGAACAAAGGAGUUAGCCACACUUAUCUGUUGAGAUGUUCCCUCAACCAAUGAUCUCACUUUAGGGACUCUUUAUCUCUUAUUUCAUGCUCUCGUUAUUUAUUGACAUUUGCACAGUUUGUUGCCUCCUAUGCUCUUGAUCUUUCAUUGAUCCCGUUUACAGUUACUAUUCUAUAGAUUUACUGAGUAUGCCUGCAGGAAAAUGAAUCUCAGAGUUGUACACUAUGUGGUGACAAAUAUAUGAACUUUGAACAGGUGAUGACAAUCAACCAAAUUAUUAAUUUGACAAUAACUGCAGCAAAAUGGUUCUCUAAGACAAUUUCUGGAAUGAAACAGCUGUUAAAGGAUGGACCGGCGUUGGAGAGGGUCUAGGGGACAAUGACUCUGGGAGUGAAAGGGAUAACAUAUGAGAAGCAUCUGAGGGCUCUGGGCCUGUGCUCACUGGAGUUUAGAAAAACAGGGGUGAUCCAUCAUCAGGGAGCUCCAAGACCCAGGUCAUGUUCCCUUCUAGCUGCCUUCAGGUAGAAGGUACAAGAGCCUCAGGACCUCCACCACCAGGUUCAAGAACAGUUACUACCCCUCAAUGAUCAGGCUCUUGAAUCAGAGGGAAUAACUUCACUCAGCUUUACUUGCCCCCAUCAUUGAAAUGUUCCCACAACCAGUGGACUCAUUUUCAAGGACUCUUCAAAUCUUACGUUCUUGAUACUUAUUGCUUAGUUAUUUAUUAUUCUCUCUUAAUUUCCGAUUGCAUUUGCGCCAAGAAAGCACAUUUGCACGUUGUUGCCUUCUGCACUCUGGCUGAACGUCCCUGGUGGUGUGGUCUUUCAUUGUGGUUUUUACAUAAAAUAUACUAUAAAUUAUUAUGUGUAAAUUUUUUAAAAUAGUAAGUAGUGCACAAAGAGAACAAAGGCAGUGUUCAAAGCUUCCGAGUUAUUUCAGAAAUCGGAUGGAGCUGUACCCUAAUCGUGGUGUUUGUGUCGACAGGCUCCUGUACUUUGUCCCUGAUGGUAGCCAUGAGCAAAGGACAUGUUGUGGCAGAUAGGCCUUUAAUGACGGACGUUGCCUUUUUGGAGACUUCCUGGAUGCUGGGGAGGCGAGUGCCCAUGAUGGAGCUGGCUGAGUUUACAACCCUCUGCAGCUUUUCCUGAUCCUGUGCUGAGGCCCCUCCAUGUCAGCCGGUGAUGCAACCAUGGUACAUUUGUAGAAAUUUGUCUUUGGUGACAUACCAGACCUCCCCUUCUGUUGGAGAGAAAGCAUACACCUCCUACUCUGGUUUUUCACCAACAAUAAUGACGGAAUAGAUGUUAUUCUCUUUUUAAAUAAUGCCGAGAGGAUCAUACGGGUUGUUCCAUGAAGGGUCAGUGUAAUUGUCGGGGGAAAGCCGCUUGCGCCGUGCCGGUCACCGACUGGCCCUCGUGAAGGAUGCAGCAGCUCGUUCCCAUUGGUUGCCUCAUGUGCGGCGGCUCCGGUGUCCGGUUUCAGGCGCCUCAGGGUGUAAGAGCAGCCGGUGAGGGAGGCCCGGUCUCUCUGCAGGCCACUCUUCACACUGAGGCCGCGACCAGUCACUGGGAAGGUAGGGUCCAGACCACAGCACUCCACACAAUCGGGUUUAAAAUCACCGGCAGCAGUACAAUGCAAUACAUAAUAAUAGAGGAAAAAGACUGAAUUAUGGUGACUAUAUGUGUAUGUGAGUGUGUGUAUAUAUUAGUUUAAUUAAAAUAGGUGGUGCAAAAACAUAAAUGAUAAAAAGUAGUGAGGUAGUGUUCAUGGGUUCAACGUCCAUUUAGAAGUCAGAUGGCAGACGGGAAGAAGCUGUUCCUGAACAAUUGAGUGUUGGUCUUCAGGAUCCUGUACCUCCUCCCUGACAGUAGCAAUGAGAAGAGGGCACGGCCUGGGUGGAUACUGGGGAGGGUGAUGGUGCAGACUAAUUUGACAACUCUCUACUGUUUACUUCGAUCCUGUGCAGUGACCCCUCAACACCACCCCCCCAGUGACGUAGCCAGUCAGAAUGCUCUCCGUGGUACUGUAGAAAUCCGCGAGUGUUUCAGGUGACAAAUCAAAUCUCCUCAAACUCCUAAUGAAGUAUAGCCUUCUCUAUAGCUGCAUCGAUAUGCUGGGACCAGGUUAGAUCCUCAAAGACGUUGACAGCCAGCAACUUGAAAUAGCUCACUUUUUCCACACCGAUUGCUCUACGAGGGCUGAAGUCCACAAUCGGCUCUUUGGCCUUACUGAUGGAAGAGCUGUAGCAUCACUCGACUAACUGAUCCUAACUGUCCUAGCUAGCUGACCCUUUACACAUUCUUAGCUAAGUAUCUGCUUGUUGAAUAUUUAGUUUGGUAGUCUGUGUAACUUGGGAACUUUGGUUGAAUAUUUUACAGUUUCUAAAUCAAUGAUUAAUAUACUUAUUUGUGAUCAAUGUUUUCAGCCUCAUUCACCAAACCCAUGAACCUGCUUCCACAUUACACAGGUAAUCAGCAGGAUGCACCUCAACUUACCUGCUGACGCAGUAGUAACCAAUCAGCUGGAAGAUGCUGGUAAACCCCAGGUCCCGUGUUCCAAACGGACUGUCAGGAUCUUACUUCGUCCACAGUUAUUAUUCCAAACCAGAAAUGCCUGGAAUUAUAGAGAAUCAGGUUUAAUAUCAUCGACGUUAACUUUACGGCAGCAGUACAAUGAAAUACAUGAUAAAUAAAUAUCGAGGAAAAAACUGAGGAGAGUAAAGAAGUGAGGAGGUAUUCAUGCCAUUUUGAAAUUGAAUGAAACUCGGCAGCGCUGUGGGGAGGAAACCUCAUUGCUGAUUGGUGGAGUGGUGAACUUUGUGUGUUGUGGCGCUCCUUGCGUCACAAUUGAAUUUCCGAAAUGACGACCAAUCCGCUGAUGGAUAGGUAUAUAAAGGCCAAGCAUUCGGGGACACUCCACAAUCGACAGCACACUGACAACGUCUCCUCGUAUGGUGAUGAAACGUUUGUGAGUAAAUUGCCAAGAUCGGAAAACAACUCAACCCAACCAUCAACCACUUGAACUUCAAUUUUUCCGAAUAAUAUUUAUUUUAUUUUCUAUUCAGAGAUGCAGGCAUCCAAUUACAGCCAUGUGGCCAUUUAACCUGCUAGCCCAUACAUCUCUGGACUGUGGGAGGAAAACAGAACACCCGGAGGAAACCCACACGGUCACGGGGAGAACCUGCAAACUCCUCACAGACAGCAGCAGGAAUUGAACCCAGGUCACUGGCGUUGUAAUAGCAUAACGCUAACUGCUACACUACCAUACUGCCCCUGCACCAUAUUGCUGAAAUAUGUCGUACCCUCUCUUCUCCCCUCCCUCCUAUCGAUACAGAAGCCCAGAAGCUUGUAGCGCGGGCUCAAGGACAGCCUCUGUCCCGUUGCUGUAAGACGACUGAAUGGACCUUUUGUAUAAUAAGAAGGACUCCUGACCUCACAACUUAACACAUAGUAACCUGGCACCUUGUUGUCUGACUGCACUUUCUCUGUAACUGCCACACCUUAUUCUGCAUUCUUUAUUGCUUUCUAGUUCAUUAAGGUUGUUAUAGCUGGAGAUGGUAAUGGGGACAAGCUCCCACUACAAUGCUCCCAAUGCCUUGCAUCUCAAAUAGCCCCUGACAACCAAGUCCAGCUCCCGGCGUUCACGUGUGGCUUAGCUACAGCCCGGUGGAACUGUUUCUACUGACAGGAGGGCCAAGGGUGGGUUACUGGCUCCUUAAAACCAGUCACUUGGGGCAGCUGGAGCUCAUCAUCUAGGAGGAGGAGAACUCUGAUCUCAAACCUCCGCUACACCCACUCACGGGGAAGGCUUCAGGAGUAAACCCUGGCGGAAAAAACCGGAGCUGGAGUCCCUAAGGCAAUCCUACGUUGAUUUCAACGCUGACUGGCAACUCCUGCGAUGCUGCUGCCUAACUGUAUCAGUUUCUGCUGUUCCUUUGGAUUCAUCAGCUGUGUGGAGAGGGGGAGCCUGCUACGUGGGCAACAGCUCACUCUCCAUAUCGUACUGUCCUGGCUUGCUUAUCUAACAGCUAGGAUGCAACAUCCAUGGUCACCCCAGACCAAUGGAGGCCUAUUAUUGCCUUCUACGAUUUCUUCCUGAAAUCUACUGACCUUCUCACCGAGAAACUCCUUAAACCUUCCAAACAGCAUAGAAGUAUAUGCCAGAACGUAAUCAAUGGAGAACCAGCAGAGAUCUGAUGGACCAAAGGGUGAUAAGAAAAUGUGGAAAAGUCUGGAAUAUGGAAUAAUCAGGUGCCAAAGGUUUGAGAUAGGAUGAGAGGGGAGAGGCGGCUGUCAAUCUUAACCCAGAGGGCGGUGAGAGGUUGGGACUCUCGGCUUGAAGGAGUGCUGGAGGUAGGAACUCUCUUCAUACUUAGAGUACUGGGUGUGGAUUGAGGAACCAUGAUCUACAGGGUUAUGGGCCCUGGUUUAAAGGGUGGGAUUAGGCUAGGAGUCUUUUCCAGUAAGAACACCGAUAAGACCAUAAGACAAAGGAACAGCACGAGGCCAUUUGGCCCAUUGAGUCUGCUCCACCAUCCCACCCCUCUCAACCCUAUUCCCAUAACCUUUGGAGCCCUUCCUAAUGAAGAAUCUAUCCUGUAUAUUAAUAUUAUGAAUUUAUAUUUACUGUAUUUUUAUUGUGUUCAUUUUGAUUAUUGUGUUUACUUAUGGUGCGUUGGAUUCAGCCCAACAAUCGUUUCAUUCCUCUUUACACUCGAGUAAUGAGGAAUGACAAUAAACAAUCUUGAAUCCAGAAUCUAUUGACCUCUGCCUUCAAUGCACAUGAUGAUUUGGCCUCCACGGAUUCACCACCCUCUGGCUAAAGAAAUUCCUCCCCAUCUCUGUUCUAUAGGGAUAUCCUUGUAUUCUGAGGUUGUGCUGUCUCACUACCGGAAAUAUCAUCUGCCAUCUAGGCCAUAUGUACAGGAAAGGGUUCCGUCAUCACCAGGAAUCCCACCUACCCUGCUCAUGGACUGUUUGUCCCACUCUCAUUGGGGAGGAAGCUACUUGGCAUCGAUGUCAGUAGCUCAAAAACAGAGACUUUCCCCAAGCAGUAAGGCUGCUCAACACCUCCACUACUAUUUUAUUCUGUGCAGUGUAGUGUCACUUUAUGGUCAUGCAAUCCUUCUAUGUGUAGGAGCUUUCUUAUGUAUUUAUAAUUACUGUGUAUUUGAUUGUUAUUUAGUUCUUUAUCUUUGUGUUUUUGUGCUGA
This is a long non-coding RNA of Hypanus sabinus (Atlantic stingray), 5323 nucleotides long. RefSeq lists it as uncharacterized. NCBI's taxonomy places the organism in Eukaryota, Metazoa, Chordata, Chondrichthyes, Myliobatiformes, Dasyatidae. The record is from RefSeq and is a predicted model, not a curated record. The transcript has 3 exons.